AUACGGAGGAUCCGAGCGUUAUCCGGAUUUAUUGGGUUUAAAGGGUGCGCAGGCGGCCAUUUAAGUCAGCGGUUAAAUCGUGGGGCUCAACCCCAUUCUGCCGUUGAUACUGGGUGGCUUGAUUGCGGUCGAGGUUGGCGGAAUUCGUUGUGUAGCGGUGAAAUGCAUAGAUAGGACGAAGAACACCGAUUGCAUAGGCAGCUGACCAGACCGCAAAUGACGCUCAUGCACGAAAGUGCGGGGAUCGAACAGGAUUAGAUACCCUGGUAGUCCGCACAGUAAACGAUGAAUACUUGUUUUCGGCGAUAUAAUGUCGGAGGCAAAGCGAAAGCGAUAAGUAUUCCACCUGGGGAGUACGCCGGCAACGGUGAAACUCAAAUGAAUUGACGGGG
This 392-nucleotide ribosomal RNA is filed under the name uncultured bacterium. RNAcentral's name for it is "partial 16S ribosomal RNA". It matches the Rfam family "Bacterial small subunit ribosomal RNA", at positions 523 to 918 of the family's 1533-position model. The record is from RNAcentral.